Molecule: ribosomal RNA, 455 nt
Filed under: uncultured organism
Description: bacterial SSU rRNA
Rfam family: Bacterial small subunit ribosomal RNA
Source: RNAcentral
GCGCAGCAGGCAAGAAUUUUUCUCAAUGGGGGCAACCCUGAAGGAGCGACGCCGCGUGGAGGAUGAAGGCUUUCGGGUUGUAAACUCCUGUCAUUUGGGAACAAGUUGGACGCAGUAACCACGCGUCCAUUGAUAGUACCAGAAGAGGAAGGGACGGCUAACUCUGUGCCAGCAGCCGCGGUAAUACAGAGGUCCCAAGCGUUGUUCGGAUUCAUUGGGCGUAAAGGGUGCGUAGGUGGCGCCGUAAGUGGGGUGUGAAAUUUCGGAGCUUAACUCCGAAACUGCAUUCCAUACUGCGGUGCUUGAGGACUGGAGAGGAGACUGGAAUUCAUGGUGUAGCAGUGAAAUGCGUAGAGAUCAUGAGGAAGACCAGUGGCGAAGGCGGGUCUCUGGACAGUUCCUGACACUGAGGCACGAAGGCCAGGGGAGCAAACGGGAUUAGAUACCCCGGUAGU